Molecule: ribosomal RNA, 372 nt
Filed under: uncultured organism
Description: bacterial SSU rRNA
Rfam family: Bacterial small subunit ribosomal RNA
Source: RNAcentral
CGUAGGGUGCAAGCGUUAUCCGGAAUUAUUGGGCGUAAAGAGCUCGUAGGCGGUUUGUCGCGUCUGCUGUGAAAACUGGAGGCUCAACCUCCAGCCUGCAGUGGGUACGGGCAAACUAGAGUGCGGUAGGGGAGAUUGGAAUUCCUGGUGUAGCGGUGGAAUGCGCAGAUAUCAGGAGGAACACCGAUGGCGAAGGCAGAUCUCUGGGCCGUAACUGACGCUGAGGAGCGAAAGCAUGGGGAGCGAACAGGAUUAGAUACCCUGGUAGUCCAUGCCGUAAACGUUGGGCGCUAGAUGUGGGGACCAUUCCACGGUUUCCGUGUCGCAGCUAACGCAUUAAGCGCCCCGCUGGGGAGUACGGCCGCAAGGCUA